RNAcentral lists this transfer RNA (73 nucleotides) under Zootermopsis nevadensis. It matches the Rfam family "tRNA". From Rfam's summary of the family: Transfer RNA (tRNA) molecules are approximately 80 nucleotides in length. Lineage: Eukaryota; Metazoa; Arthropoda; Insecta; Blattodea; Termopsidae. The record is from Rfam by way of RNAcentral.
GCCACGGUGGUCUAGCGGUUAGAACGCUGGCCUUGUAAUCCUGGGGUCUCGGGUUCGAUUCCCGGCGGUGUUG